RNAcentral lists this ribosomal RNA (484 nucleotides) under uncultured bacterium. Its description in RNAcentral is "partial 16S ribosomal RNA". It matches the Rfam family "Bacterial small subunit ribosomal RNA", at positions 30 to 507 of the family's 1533-position model. The record is from RNAcentral.
AUUGAACGCUGGCGGCAGGCCUAACACAUGCAAGUCGAGCGGAUGAAGGGAGCUUGCUCCUGGAUUCAGCGGCGGACGGGUGAGUAAUGCCUAGGAAUCUGCCUGGUAGUGGGGGAUAACGUCCGGAAAAGGGCGCUAAUACCGCAUACGUCCUGAGGGAGAAAGUGGGGGAUCUUCGGACCUCACGCUAUCAGAUGAGCCUAGGCCGGAUUAGCUAGUUGGUGGGGUAAAGGCCUACCAAGCCGACGAUCCGUAACUGGUCUGAGAGGAUGAUCAGUCACACUGGAACUUAGACACGGUCCAGACUCCUGCGGGAGGCAGCAGUGGGGAAUAUUGGACAAUGGGCGAAAGCAUGAUCCAGCCAUGCCGCGUGUGUGAAGAAGGUCUUCGGAUUGUAAAGCACUUUAAGUUGGGAGGAAGGGCAGUAAGUUAAUACCUUGCUGUUUUGACGUUACCAACAGAAUAAGCACCGGCUAACUUCGUG